GAUGAACGCUGGCGGCGUGCCUAAUACAUGCAAGUCGAGCGAACAGACGAGGAGCUUGCUCCUCUGACGUUAGCGGCGGACGGGUGAGUAACACGUGGAUAACCUACCUAUAAGACUGGGAUAACUUCGGGAAACCGGAGCUAAUACCGGAUAAUAUAUUGAACCGCAUGGUUCAAUAGUGAAAGACGGUUUUGCUGUCACUUAUAGAUGGAUCCGCGCCGCAUUAGCUAGUUGGUAAGGUAACGGCUUACCAAGGCAACGAUGCGUAGCCGACCUGAGAGGGUGAUCGGCCACAAUGGAACUGAGACACGGUCCAGACUCAUACGGGAGGCAGCAGUAGGGAAUGUUCCGCAAUGGGCGAAAGCCUGACGGAGCAACGCAGCGUGAGUGAUGAAGGUCUUCGGAUCGUAAAACUCUGUUAUUAGGGAGGAACAAAUGUGUAAGUAACUAUGCACGUCUUGACGGUACCUAAUCAGAAAGCCACGGCUAACUACGUG
This 497-nucleotide ribosomal RNA is filed under the name uncultured bacterium. RNAcentral describes it as "partial 16S ribosomal RNA". It matches the Rfam family "Bacterial small subunit ribosomal RNA", at positions 28 to 507 of the family's 1533-position model. The record is from RNAcentral.